AACGAACGCUGGCGGCAGGCUUAACACAUGCAAGUCGAACGCAUCUCUUCGGAGGUGAGUGGCAGACGGGUGAGUAACGCGUGGGAACGUGCCCUUUGGUUCGGGAUAACCCGGGGAAACCCGGGCUAAUACCGGAUAAGCCCUUACGGGGAAAGGUUUACUGCCGAAGGAUCGGCCCGCGUCGGAUUAGCUUGUUGGUGUGGUAACGGCGCACCAAGGCGACGAUCCGUAGCUGGUCUGAGAGGAUGAUCAGCCACACUGGGACUGAGACACGGCCCAGACUCCUACGGGAGGCAGCAGUGGGGAAUAUUGGACAAUGGGCGCAAGCCUGAUCCAGCCAUGCCGCGUGAGUGAAGAAGGCCCUAGGGUUGUAAAGCUCUUUCAGCGGGGACGAUAAUGACGGUACCCGCAGAAGAAGCCCCGGCUAACUUCGUGCCAGCAGCCGCAGUAAAAC
This 454-nucleotide ribosomal RNA is filed under the name uncultured bacterium. RNAcentral describes it as "bacterial SSU rRNA". It matches the Rfam family "Bacterial small subunit ribosomal RNA", at positions 29 to 526 of the family's 1533-position model. The record is from RNAcentral.